RNAcentral lists this transfer RNA (67 nucleotides) under Dussumieria elopsoides (slender rainbow sardine). RNAcentral's name for it is "tRNA-Cys". It matches the Rfam family "tRNA". From Rfam's summary of the family: Transfer RNA (tRNA) molecules are approximately 80 nucleotides in length. Their secondary structure includes four short double-helical elements and three loops (D, anti-codon, and T loops). Further hydrogen bonds mediate the characteristic L-shaped molecular structure. tRNAs have two regions of fundamental functional importance: the anti-codon, which is responsible for specific mRNA codon recognition, and the 3' end, to which the tRNAs corresponding amino acid is attached (by aminoacyl-tRNA synthetases). tRNAs cope with the degeneracy of the genetic code in two manners: having more than one tRNA (with a specific anti-codon) for a particular amino acid; and 'wobble' base-pairing, i.e. permitting non-standard base-pairing at the 3rd anti-codon position. The record is from RNAcentral. Lineage: Eukaryota; Metazoa; Chordata; Actinopteri; Clupeiformes; Dussumieriidae.
GGCCCUGUGGUGAAGUUCAUAUUAGGUUGCAAACCUAAAGAUGCAGGAGUAAGGCCUGCCGGGGCUU